UAGUGGUGGUAGUGGUGGUGAUGGUAUGUGAGAGGUGGGUGUGGCUUACAUGUCUAGUUAACAUAUGUAGCAGUGUUGUGUUGGCGGCGGCGGCGGAGCUGGUACUAGCAGGACAUUGUAAUCUUUUUUCGACUACUGCCACACCAACACACAUUACAUUUUACCUCACUUGCUUCUCAUCACAACAUUUUGUAUAUCUAUAUUUAUUUGUGUUCCUACAGAAGAAGAAGAAGAAGAAGAAGAAAGCGAUAGAUAUAUAUCUACAUAUAUGUGUGAUUUCUAUACAUUUUUAAGUCGAAGACAUUACCAUCUUCUAUAUUUUUGAGAUCGCUGUUAAAGUAAGCGAAGCCUCGCCACAGACGAAACUCAAGCACGUAAAUACACCAGAAAAAAUAUCAGUGGAAGCAUUUUUUACAUGAAAGAAGGGAAAAUAGUCAACAAAGAUAGCAGUCGAUUUCUUCCCCUCCCCCCACAAUUUUUUUUCAAUCUUCCUUUUUUCUUAAAGCACGUGGAUUGUCAUACUAAUUGGUUUGUGUGUAUUCAUUGAUUUUACCCUCUACGUCACACCUGUUAUUUAUUUACCUUAAUUCAUUCUCGCAUUUUAUAUCUCUAAAUGGUGUGAGAGAAAAUUGUUAAUUAGAAGAUAAAGAGAGAACAUUAUAUUUAUGGUUGUAUUAAUUGGUUUUUCGCUAUUGAGUCAACAAUCGGAGUUACAGGUGGAUUACAUGCACAGGAUUUGAUCUCCUUUCACCUGUUUUUGUUGUAAUUAGCUGGGAAGACGACAGUAAAACACGCAUUUUAACAAAAAAUAUUUUCAGUCUUUUUUUGCCAUUUCGAGUUCGCUGCUGACUUUUCUUUGUGCUGAAAUCUAAUAACCAUUCAAUGCAUUGCUUAACUUGACCCUUCAUAUUUUAUAAUGUGGCAUAAAAUCUGGGAUACGGCUGUAGGUUUCCACAAAAGAUACAUUAGGCCUGUUUGGAAUCGCGCACCGUAUUCGAAACUGAAAGAAAUCUGUGAUGAAAGUGAAGUAGAGAUGUCAACAACAGGCGUUUACUGUGCUAGUGUUACCGAUACCUCUAUCUCCAACGAACCCCCAAAUGUUAACAGGAUUGAAAACAAAACACCUAAUUCCUCUGUUUCCGCGAUGUCCAUGAGACAAGGGUUUGAUGAACCUGAUGCUGGCUUUCAUCGUUCGGACUUUCCGAUAGCAUAUCCAUCUUCCAUCACCCCCACAAAGAAUUCUACAAUUACGGAUAUUAAAAAUGCACUCUCUGCAAAGAGACCGUCUUACCAUCAUGUUCAAGAAGAAGCAGAUAAAAUCGAAGUGCUAGGUCAAGUCGGUUACCAAAGUGUAAACUUAGAAUGUACAGCAACUUCCGAACAUAAAGGAAGCUCCGACCAUAUCAAGCAAUGCCAGACAUCUCCAGAUGUCGAAGUCCCAAUCGAAGAAAUUACUCCGUCUUCCGCCAAAAUCGAUAAGAAAUUGAAGUCGCGUCGAAAAAGGUGUUUUAUUAGCUGACAUCAGAGAAAUGUUUCUGAACAUCACCAGUACAGAUUAAGAAAAAACUUGGGCAUGGUGCUCGUGUUUCUAUGCAAAUUCUAAAAGAAGCUUUCAUAAUUGGCUUUACACCUCCGGCUCCUUGUCUCUAUUUAACAGGACCCUAGACAAAGAUCCUACGGAAGAUAAAGCGAUGUUUCAUAAUGCUUUGGAAAUACUUUAAAGCAGGAAAGAUGUGUCCUUAUGCAUACCCCCCUGCGGUAGGAAUCUUCUCUGUGUAUCCACAAGAUCUAGAGCCGAGAUAUGUUCUUGGUUAAUGGUAAUGACACUGGAAAAAAAAAAUGUUAAAUUAUAUAUUUAACUUGAAAACAUUAGGGAGUUGAAUAUAUUUUAAGUUUUACUUUCUUUUAUACACCUUUUGUCUUCCCUAUAUUCUUCUUUCUCUCUUUCUCUUUCUCCCCCCAUUUCACAUGUGUAUGAAAGUCUGUAACACAACAGCUUAGCUCCUUGCCAAAUUUGCUCCACCCCCGGUUUUUUUUUUUUGUUUUUGUUUUUACAUAUGAGUUCCCUGUGUCUAGUCUUGCCCAAUAAAGUCUUAUGAUGACAACAAUAAACAAAUAAUUAUAUCCAGUCCAUUCCAAAACUAAAAUCCCAAGAUACUCCUGAACAAUAAUCCUAUUUAAAAAAUUUACACAUUCCAAAUGUUUUUGAUUUUUUUUUUGCAAAAAAAAAAAGAAGCAAAAUAAACUUAACUUCAUAUCUUUUUUAUUAAAGCAAACUAUAUACCAUAGUGAUAACGUUUGUCCUUCUUUGAAAUAUCUAUCUAUAACAGUAUCAGGCUUCUAAUAACUAUUAUUCAUCUUGUGUUCAUUUUUUAUGUUUUAAUCCCAGCCGUAUUCUUCUUUUGUCUGGUGCAACAGAAAAAAAAAAAA
RNA transcript from Octopus sinensis (East Asian common octopus), 2430 nucleotides. RefSeq lists it as uncharacterized. The record is from RefSeq and is a predicted model, not a curated record. The transcript is spliced from 4 exons. NCBI's taxonomy places the organism in Eukaryota, Metazoa, Mollusca, Cephalopoda, Octopoda, Octopodidae.